AUAUAUAUAUAUAUAUAUAUAUAUAAUAUAUGUAGUUUAAAAUAAAACAUUACAUUUUCAUUGUA
This 65-nucleotide transfer RNA is filed under the name Protogoniomorpha parhassus. Its description in RNAcentral is "tRNA-Glu". Lineage: Eukaryota; Metazoa; Arthropoda; Insecta; Lepidoptera; Nymphalidae. The record is from RNAcentral.